RNAcentral lists this ribosomal RNA (862 nucleotides) under uncultured marine bacterium. Its description in RNAcentral is "bacterial SSU rRNA". It matches the Rfam family "Bacterial small subunit ribosomal RNA", at positions 58 to 968 of the family's 1533-position model. The record is from RNAcentral.
CAAGUCGAACGAAGUAGCAAUACUUAGUGGCAGACGGGUGAGUAACAUGUGGGUAUCUUCCCUUUGGUGAGGAAUAACACGAGGAAACUUGUGCUAAUACCUCAUAAGUCUUUACGGAGAAAGCUUUAUGCGCCAAUGGAUGAGCCCGCACUUGAUUAGUUUGUUAGUGGGGUAAUGGCCUACCAAGACUUCGAUCAAUAGCUGAUUUGAGAGGAUGAUCAGCCACAUUGGGACUGAGACACGGCCCAAACUCCUACGGGAGGCAGCAGUAAGGAAUCUUGCACAAUGGAGGAAACUCUGAUGCAGCGAUGCCGCGUGAGUGAAGAAGGCCUUUGGGUUGUAAAGCUCUUUCGUCGGGGAAGAAAAUGACUGUACCCGAAUAAGAAGGUCCGGCUAACUUCGUGCCAGCAGCCGCGGUAAUACGAAGGGACCUAGCGUAGUUCGGAAUUACUGGGCCUAAAGAGUUCGUAGGUGGUUAAAAAAGUUGGUGGUGAAAUCCCAGAGCUUAACUCUGGAACUGCCAUCAAAACUUUUUAGCUAGAGUAUGAUAGAGGAAAGCAGAAUUUCUAGUGUAGAGGUGAAAUUCGUAGAUAUUAGAAAGAAUACCGAUUGCGAAGGCAGCUUUCUGGAUCAUUACUGACACUGAGGAACGAAAGCAUGGGUAGCGAAGAGGAUUAGAUACCCUCGUAGUCCAUGCUGUAAACGAUGUGUGUUAGACGUUGGAAAUUUAUUUUCAGUGUCGCAGCGAAAGCGAUAAACACACCGCCUGGGGAGUACGACCGCAAGGUUAAAACUCAAAUGAAUUGACGGGGACCCGCACAAGUAGUGGAGCAUGUGGUUUAAUUCGAAGAUACGCGCAGAA